This is a long non-coding RNA of Platichthys flesus (European flounder), 644 nucleotides long. RefSeq lists it as uncharacterized. NCBI's taxonomy places the organism in Eukaryota, Metazoa, Chordata, Actinopteri, Pleuronectiformes, Pleuronectidae. The record is from RefSeq and is a predicted model, not a curated record. The transcript is spliced from 3 exons.
ACUCAUGAGCGAGGGUGCUGUACACACACACACACACACACACACAGACACACACCCUGCUCCCUCUGUGUGCGAGUGUGAUGUGAUGCGGUGCGACUGCAUGAAUCCUGCUGUGCAGUCUGAUGUCGUGUGUGGUGACGCCGCUCCAUCAAAGAAACAUGGGACGAGCUGCUGCUUCCAGAAGAGUGGAGAACCUGAAGUGUUUCAUGGGAUGUCACACGGCUUCUACAUCUGAACAGUGAGUCAGCUCUGAAGAUGGAUCUCAAAGAAACCCUGGGACGAGCUGUGAGUCCCCGUGUGGACGAGGGUCAUUAAAGAGGCUCGGACUCUGUCUCCUGGAACCCAGAUGACAAACUGUCUCCUGACGCUCGGGACUGAUGCAGACCUGAAGCACAGAUGUCAAUGAUGAAAUAUUUCAUGGCUUUGCCGGAAACGAGCGCAGCUGAUUGGAUGAGUUCAUCUCUUUAAUCCAACAAGAGGAGCAGAGCAGCGGUUCGUGCAGAGCUCGCCAACAGACUGGCCAAUCACAGCCGAGGAGGAGCGGAUGGAGAGACUCUAAGUUCCUCCGUCAUCGCUCGUUUCCCGAUGUUAGCAACCGAUCUCACAAACUCAGGAAGCUUCAUGUUCGUCCAUUAGAAAUAAAA